UACGUAGGGGCCUAGCGUUGUCCGGAAUUAUUGGGCGUAAAGAGCUCGUAGGCGGUUCGGCAAGUCGGAUGUGAAAUCUCCACGCUUAACGUGGAGGGGCCAUUCGAAACUGCUGUGACUCGAGUCCGGUAGGGGAGUGUGGAAUUCCCGGUGUAGCGGUGAAAUGCGCAGAUAUCGGGAGGAACACCGGUGGCGAAGGCGGUUCUCUGGGCCUUACCUGACGCUGAGGCGCGAAGGCUAGGGGAGCGAACAGG
This 254-nucleotide ribosomal RNA is filed under the name uncultured bacterium. RNAcentral's name for it is "partial 16S ribosomal RNA". It matches the Rfam family "Bacterial small subunit ribosomal RNA", at positions 524 to 776 of the family's 1533-position model. The record is from RNAcentral.